Molecule: ribosomal RNA, 547 nt
Filed under: Synechococcus sp. BAC 9984
Lineage: Bacteria; Bacillati; Cyanobacteriota; Cyanophyceae; Synechococcales; Synechococcaceae
Description: bacterial SSU rRNA
Rfam family: Bacterial small subunit ribosomal RNA
Source: RNAcentral
GAAACGACCGCUAAUACCCCAUAUGCCGAGAGGUGAAAUGAAUUUCGCCUGAGGAUGAGCCCGCGUCUGAUUAGCUAGUUGGUGUGGUAAUGGCGCACCAAGGCUUCGAUCAGUAGCUGGUCUGAGAGGAUGAUCAGCCACACUGGGACUGAGACACGGCCCAGACUCCUACGGGAGGCAGCAGUGGGGAAUUUUCCGCAAUGGGCGAAAGCCUGACGGAGCAACGCCGCGUGAGGGAUGAAGGCCUCUGGGCUGUAAACCUCUUUUAUCAAGGAAGAACAUCUGACGGUACUUGAUGAAUAAGCCACGGCUAAUUCCGUGCCAGCAGCCGCGGUAUUUCGGGAAUGGCAAGCGUUAUCCGGAAUUCUUGGGCGUAAAGCCUCCGCAGGCGGCCUUUGAAGUCUGUCGUUAAAGCGUGGAGCUUAACUCCAUUUCGGCGAUGGAAACUACAAGGUUAGAGUAUGGUAGGGGCAGAGGGAAUUCCCGAUGUAGCGAUGAAUUGCGUAGAUAUCGGGAAGAACACCAGUCCCGAAGGCGCUCUGCUAUC